CCUACGGGGGGCAGCAGUGGGGAAUAUUGGACAAUGGGGGGAACCCUGAUCCAGCCAUGCCGCGUGUGUGAAGAAGGCCCUCGGGUUGUAAAGCACUUUCAGUGAGGAAGAACGCCUGGUGGUUAAUACCCAUCAGGAAAGACAUCACUCACAGAAGAAGCACCGGCUAACUCCGUGCCAGCAGCCGCGGUAAUACGGAGGGUGCGAGCGUUAAUCGGAAUUACUGGGCGUAAAGCGCGCGUAGGUGGCUUGAUAAGCCGGUUGUGAAAGCCCCGGGCUCAACCUGGGAACGGCAUCCGGAACUGUCAAGCUAGAGUGCAGGAGAGGAAGGUAGAAUUCCCGGUGUAGCGGUGAAAUGCGUAGAGAUCGGGAGGAAAUACCAGUGGCGAAGGCGGCCUUCUGGACUGACACUGACACUGAGGUGCGAAAGCGUGGGUAGCAAACAGGAUUAGAUACCCUGGUAGUC
This 466-nucleotide ribosomal RNA is filed under the name Vreelandella stevensii. RNAcentral describes it as "partial 16S ribosomal RNA". It matches the Rfam family "Bacterial small subunit ribosomal RNA", at positions 338 to 795 of the family's 1533-position model. The record is from RNAcentral. Lineage: Bacteria; Pseudomonadati; Pseudomonadota; Gammaproteobacteria; Oceanospirillales; Halomonadaceae.